Non-coding RNA from Schistosoma curassoni, 46 nucleotides. The record is from Rfam. NCBI's taxonomy places the organism in Eukaryota, Metazoa, Platyhelminthes, Trematoda, Strigeidida, Schistosomatidae.
CAACUGCUGAGGAGUCCCACAAUAGGACGAAACAACCGUUCAGUGC